AUGCAUCUCUUGCCCGCUGACGUGGGAUCGAGUUCGCGCCACGCCCCAAGCCCACAAUCCUCUGCGAUGAGACGCCGUGGGACGCGACCGCGACCACCAUCCUCCUCGCUCGCGCUGCUGCCGAAUCACAAGCUCGUCAUGGUCCUCUUCCCCCUCAAGCACAUCCGCCGGCAUCAUGGUGCGCCGCUUCGACCUCCCGUCCCGACUGCUGCCGCGCACAUCUUCUGCAAGGUCUGCCAUGCCUUCACCGACCGCCGGAGAUGUCACUACCCUCCGCAUCGACCAGGUUCAAGAUGCAUAGGAACAUUUUCAGAGGAUGGUAGGUGGUGUUCAUGGCAGCACCAUCGUGGUCAUCUUUCUACACCUCUACCUCCACUGCCCCUCUUUGGUCCUGCUGCGAGCUGCAAGAGCAGGAAGACACAGAAGUUGGAGUGCUAG
RNAcentral lists this ribosomal RNA (438 nucleotides) under Triticum aestivum (bread wheat). RNAcentral describes it as "partial small subunit ribosomal RNA". The record is from RNAcentral. Lineage: Eukaryota; Viridiplantae; Streptophyta; Magnoliopsida; Poales; Poaceae.